GCUCAAUCAGAAUGUGCUUGCCUUUAACAAAUUUUUUACGUAUUUCCUAUCUUUCUUAUCUACGUAAUCCAAUCUAUAAUCUUCGGUUAUUAAUUUAACAUGUAAUGAUGGGUUUUGCAGGAUCCAGUUCUAGACCAAGCACUGCAGUCGUCAACAUAACAUGCCCGUUUUCCGUAAUUCUUACAGAUGCUCACUCAGACUGUUCUUAUUUUCCAUGACGAAGGCGACAUUUUCUUU
This is a non-coding RNA of Paramuricea clavata, 237 nucleotides long. The record is from the annotation of a GenBank genome assembly. NCBI's taxonomy places the organism in Eukaryota, Metazoa, Cnidaria, Anthozoa, Malacalcyonacea, Plexauridae.